UACGUGGGGGGCAAGCGUUGUUCGGAAUUACUGGGCGUAAAGGGCUCGUAGGUGGCCAACUAAGUCAGACGUGAAAUCCCUCGGCUUAACCGGGGAACUGCGUCUGAUACUGGAUGGCUUGAGUUCGGGAGAGGGAUGCGGAAUUCCAGGUGUAGCGGUGAAAUGCGUAGAUAUCUGGAGGAACACCGGUGGCGAAGGCGGCAUCCUGGACCGACGCUGACGUUGAGGAGCGAAAGCCAGGGGAGCAAACGGG
RNAcentral lists this ribosomal RNA (253 nucleotides) under uncultured bacterium. RNAcentral describes it as "partial 16S ribosomal RNA". It matches the Rfam family "Bacterial small subunit ribosomal RNA", at positions 524 to 776 of the family's 1533-position model. The record is from RNAcentral.